UGCAACCUCAGCUUCCUUGUAUAUAUGGUUUGUAAUUAUGGUUACUUGUUAAUAACAAUCAAAGUUAUUUAAUUUAAAGAUUGCUAAUGUUCUUAAAAUAGCUUAUACAGGUAAGCAUAAUUUAAAAACAGAAGUUCCUGUAGCUUUACUACUAACAAUCAUUGUGAUGAUAAAACGACGAAAACAGCUGAAUUCCUCAUGUUGAAUUCGUUAUAUUAUUUUUUAAGUUUCAGCCUUGUCUGAUCAUGAUUUUUUUUACUUCUUUUUUCUUUAUUUUUUUGUUAUUUUUUCUGACGUUUUUAGAGUUGAAUCCUAAUUUUUUAAAAAGUUGUAUUUUAAUAUAUUUCCCAUAAGGUAAGUUAAAAAUUUUAGGUUGCUUUUCAAGUUUAAGGAUGAUACCUAAGACGCAACGGGCGGACUAAAUGGGUUACUACAAUGCUUCAACUGUACAAUGAAGUUGUAACUCACAUGUUGUUAUCGUGUCUUACUGAAAUACUUGAUUAGCAUUAAAUUUUGUCUUUUUUUUUUUUGUUUGUAUCUAAAGUAUUAACUAAGAUUUUAGAUUUUACAUAGUUACUAUUGUGCUACAUUUUUGGUUCAGUAAAUCUCAAAUAGACCGUUUUAAUAGAUAGCAACUUGCCAUGAUGAGCCAUUUUAUAUUUUGUAUUCACACUGUCUGAAUUUCUUGAAGAUAUACUGAAACUCUGAGCAAAGCCUGAUUAUUCAUUCGUUUCUUACAUUUGGUAGUCAACAAUAUUGUUAUAUUCCUUCUCAUAGUUAAUACGUCUAUUUAAAUCCAAGUAUGCUACUAAGAAAAUCCUGGAUAUAGUAACAUAAGAUCAAGUCGAUACCAUAAUUUAUAAUUUGA
Molecule: non-coding RNA, 868 nt
Organism: Schizosaccharomyces pombe (fission yeast)
Lineage: Eukaryota; Fungi; Ascomycota; Schizosaccharomycetes; Schizosaccharomycetales; Schizosaccharomycetaceae
Source: the annotation of a GenBank genome assembly